Long non-coding RNA from Hibiscus syriacus, 467 nucleotides. RefSeq lists it as uncharacterized. The transcript is spliced from 3 exons. The record is from RefSeq and is a predicted model, not a curated record. Lineage: Eukaryota; Viridiplantae; Streptophyta; Magnoliopsida; Malvales; Malvaceae.
ACCCUAGAUCGUUUAUUUAAUUCCCUGCUCAAUCUAAAUUCCUCUUCUUUUUUUUGAAUCGCCGUCUCCGUUUGCCUCUUCUUUUCUCUGGUUAAACAGUUUCUUGAGAAAACAAUUAUGGUUUCUUGGUUUAAGAGAAAAUCCGUUUAAAGUUGAUCUCCAUUAGUCAGAAUUUUUACGAGAACAGUAAUGAAAGCGUGGAUGUUGUAAUGGAGACCAAGGGUGGCAAAAAGAGUAGUUGUAGUAGUAAUUCUUUACAAUACGAAGUCCCUCUCGGUUACAGCAUUGAAGAUAUUCGUCCAAACGGUGGCAUCGAAAAGUUCCGAUCUGCUGCUUACUCCAACUGCGUUAGAAUGCCAUCCUGAUACACGCCUUUGCAAAAUGACACUCUCAAUUUAGAUUAGAUUUUCUUCAGCCUCUUCCCCCCCCCCCCCUUCUACUUUCCAAGUAUUUAUAAGAAUCAAAGA